Molecule: ribosomal RNA, 122 nt
Filed under: Rosa chinensis
Lineage: Eukaryota; Viridiplantae; Streptophyta; Magnoliopsida; Rosales; Rosaceae
Source: RNAcentral
GGGUGCGAUCAUACCAGCAAUAAUGCACCGGAUCCCAUCAGAACUCCGAAGUUAAGCUUGCUUGGGGCGAGAGCAGUACUAGGAUGGGUGACCUCCUGGGAAGUCCUCGUGUUGCACCCCUC